CCUACGGGCGGCAGCAGUGGGGAAUAUUGGACAAUGGGCGAAAGCCUGAUCCAGCCAUGCCGCGUGUGUGAAGAAGGCCUUCGGGUUGUAAAGCACUUUCAGUGGGGAAGAAAGCCUUGGGGCUAAUACCCUCGAGGAAGGACAUCACCCACAGAAGAAGCACCGGCUAACUCCGUGCCAGCAGCCGCGGUAAUACGGAGGGUGCGAGCGUUAAUCGGAAUUACUGGGCGUAAAGCGCGCGUAGGCGGUCUGAUAAGCCGGUUGUGAAAGCCCCGGGCUCAACCUGGGAACGGCAUCCGGAACUGUCAGGCUAGAGUGCAGGAGAGGAAGGUAGAAUUCCCGGUGUAGCGGUGAAAUGCGUAGAGAUCGGGAGGAAUACCAGUGGCGAAGGCGGCCUUCUGGAUUGACACUGACGCUGAGGUGCGAAAGCGUGGGUAGCAAACAGGAUUAGAUACCCUGGUAGUC
This 465-nucleotide ribosomal RNA is filed under the name Vreelandella stevensii. RNAcentral describes it as "partial 16S ribosomal RNA". It matches the Rfam family "Bacterial small subunit ribosomal RNA", at positions 338 to 795 of the family's 1533-position model. Lineage: Bacteria; Pseudomonadati; Pseudomonadota; Gammaproteobacteria; Oceanospirillales; Halomonadaceae. The record is from RNAcentral.